AUUGAACGCUGGCGGCAGGCUUAACACAUGCAAGUCGAGCGGGGGAAGGUAGCUUGCUACUGGACCUAGCGGCGGACGGGUGAGUAAUGCUUAGGAAUCUGCCUAUUAGUGGGGGACAACAUCUCGAAAGGGAUGCUAAUACCGCAUACGUCCUACGGGAGAAAGCAGGGGAUCUUCGGACCUUGCGCUAAUAGAUGAGCCUAAGUCGGAUUAGCUAGUUGGUGGGGUAAAGGCCUACCGAGGCGACGAUCUGUAGCGGGUCUGAGAGGAUGAUCCGCCACGCUGGGACUGAGACACGGCCCAGACUCCUACGGGAGGCAGCAGUGGGGAAUAUUGGACAAUGGGGGGAACCCUGAUCCAGCCAUGCCGCGUGUGUGAAGAAGGCCUAUGGUUGUAAAGCACUUUAAGCGAGGAGGAGGCUACUUUAGUUAAUACCUAGAGAUAGUGGACGUUACUCGCAGAAUAAGCACCGGCUAACUCUGUGCCAGCCGCCGCGGUAA
RNAcentral lists this ribosomal RNA (500 nucleotides) under uncultured bacterium. Its description in RNAcentral is "partial 16S ribosomal RNA". It matches the Rfam family "Bacterial small subunit ribosomal RNA", at positions 30 to 523 of the family's 1533-position model. The record is from RNAcentral.